UAUUCAUAGUCACUGUACAAUAGAAUUUAACGUGAGAGUGAGGGAGAUAGAGAUAAGGGCUGGAGUAGAAUGGAAAGAAAGAAACAAACAGGAAGGAAACUAAAGAGAGAAAGUAAAGGACGUGAGGAAUAGGAGAUUAGGAGCAUGAAAGAAAAGAAGAAAACAAGAGAGAGAGAGAGAGAGAGAGAGAGAUCAAGAUAGAAUAGAGGAGAUUAGAGGAAAAGAAAGAAGAAACAGAAUUAGGAUUGGAAGAGAAAAUAGAAGAGAGAAACAUGAGACGUGAGAGAGAUACCUGAAGUGAAGGAAGGAGGAAUUAACAAGAGUAGUUUGAUUUAUAUUCUGAAUGAGAUUCAAAGGAACAUGUAUCUAUACAAUAGCUUGAAAUCCAGUCUUGCAGGUUAUUAAACACAAGAACUAUGAAGAUUAGUGAUCGAAAGCAAUUAGAGUUAGUUGGAGUUUUGUAUAUGUAAGAUCAUUAUUCCGGAAGUGAGUACUCUUAGUGAUCUUGAGUUGGAUUUAUCCUUAUACCGAAAUGAGAAGUCAAUUCCAUUAUCAAA
This is a long non-coding RNA of Rosa chinensis, 557 nucleotides long. RefSeq lists it as uncharacterized. Lineage: Eukaryota; Viridiplantae; Streptophyta; Magnoliopsida; Rosales; Rosaceae. The record is from RefSeq and is a predicted model, not a curated record. The transcript has 2 exons.